AAAUUGAAGAGUUUGAUCAUGGCUCAGAUUGAACGCUGGCGGCAGGCCUAACACAUGCAAGUCGAACGGUAACAGGAAGCAGCUUGCUGCUUCGCUGACGAGUGGCGGACGGGUGAGUAAUGUCUGGGAAACUGCCUGAUGGAGGGGGAUAACUACUGGAAACGGUGGCUAAUACCGCAUAACGUCGCAAGACCAAAGAGGGGGACCUUCGGGCCUCUUGCCAUCAGAUGUGCCCAGAUGGGAUUAGCUUGUUGGUGAGGUAACGGCUCACCAAGGCGACGAUCCCUAGCUGGUCUGAGAGGAUGACCAGCCACACUGGAACUGAGACACGGUCCAGACUCCUACGGGAGGCAGCAGUGGGGAAUAUUGCACAAUGGGCGCAAGCCUGAUGCAGCCAUGCCGCGUGUAUGAAGAAGGCCUUCGGGUUGUAAAGUACUUUCAGCGGGGAGGAAGGUGUUGCGGUUAAUAACCGCAGCAAUUGACGUUACCCGCAGAAGAAGCACCGGCUAACUCCGUGCCAGCAGCCGCGGUAAUACGGAGGGUGCAAGCGUUAAUCGGAAUUACUGGGCGUAAAGCGCACGCAGGCGGUCUGUCAAGUCGGAUGUGAAAUCCCCGGGCUCAACCUGGGAACUGCAUUCGAAACUGGCAGGCUUGAGUCUUGUAGAGGGGGGGUAGAAUUCCAGGUGUAGCGGUGAAAUGCGUAGAGAUCUGGAGGAAUACCGGUGGCGAAGGCGGCCCCCUGGACAAAGACUGACGCUCAGGUGCGAAAGCGUGGGGAGCAAACAGGAUUAGAUACCCUGGUAGUCCACGCCGUAAACGAUGUCUACUUGGAGGUUGUGCCCUUGAGGUGUGGCUUCCGGAGCUAACGCGUUAAGUAGACCGCCUGGGGAGUACGGCCGCAAGGUUAAAACUCAAAUGAAUUGACGGGGGCCCGCACAAGCGGUGGAGCAUGUGGUUUAAUUCGAUGCAACGCGAAGAACCUUACCUGGUCUUGACAUCCACAGAAGAAUCCAGAGAUGGAUUUGUGCCUUCGGGAACUGUGAGACAGGUGCUGCAUGGCUGUCGUCAGCUCGUGUUGUGAAAUGUUGGGUUAAGUCCCGCAACGAGCGCAACCCUUAUCCUUUGUUGCCAGCGGUCCGGCCGGGAACUCAAAGGAGACUGCCAGUGAUAAACUGGAGGAAGGUGGGGAUGACGUCAAGUCAUCAUGGCCCUUACGACCAGGGCUACACACGUGCUACAAUGGCGCAUACAAAGAGAAGCGACCUCGCGAGAGCAAGCGGACCUCAUAAAGUGCGUCGUAGUCCGGAUUGGAGUAUGCAACUCGACUCCAUGAAGUCGGAAUCGCUAGUAAUCGUGGAUCAGAAUGCCACGGUGAAUACGUUCCCGGGCCUUGUACACACCGCCCGUCACACCAUGGGAGUGGGUUGCAAAAGAAGUAGGUAGCUUAACCUUCGGGAGGGCGCUUACCACUUUGUGAUUCAUGACUGGGGUGAAGUCGUAACAAGGUAACCGUAGGGGAACCUGCGGUUGGAUCACCUCCUUA
This 1543-nucleotide ribosomal RNA is filed under the name Salmonella enterica subsp. enterica serovar Infantis. RNAcentral's name for it is "16S ribosomal RNA". It matches the Rfam family "Bacterial small subunit ribosomal RNA". Lineage: Bacteria; Pseudomonadati; Pseudomonadota; Gammaproteobacteria; Enterobacterales; Enterobacteriaceae. The record is from RNAcentral.